Non-coding RNA from Triticum urartu, 116 nucleotides. Lineage: Eukaryota; Viridiplantae; Streptophyta; Magnoliopsida; Poales; Poaceae. The record is from Rfam.
CACAUACUCCCUCCGUCCUGAAUUACUUGUCGCAGAAAUGGAUGUAUCUAGACAUAUUUUUAGUUAUAGAUACAUCCAUUUCUGCGACAAGUAUUUCGGAACGGAGGGAGUAUAAG